AUUGAACGCUGGCGGCGUGCCUAACACAUGCAAGUCGAGCGGUAACAGGUGUAGCAAUACAUGCUGACGAGCGGCGGACGGGUGAGUAACGCUUGGGAAUCUGCCUGUUAGUGGGGGACAACCCGGGGAAACUCGGGCUAAUACCGCAUACGCACUACGGUGGAAAGCCGGGGACCGCAAGGCCUGGCGCUAACAGAUGAGCCCAAGUCGGAUUAGCUAGUUGGUAGGGUAACGGCCUACCAAGGCGACGAUCCGUAACUGGUCUGAGAGGACGACCAGUCACACCGGAACUGAGACACGGUCCGGACUCCUACGGGAGGCAGCAGUGGGGAAUAUUGGACAAUGGGCGAAAGCCUGAUCCAGCGACGCCGCGUGGGUGAAGAAGGCCUGCGGGUUGUAAAGCCCUUUCGGUGGGGAAGAAAAGCCUCGAUUAACACCUCGGGUCUUGACGUAACCCAUAGAAGAAGCACCGG
Molecule: ribosomal RNA, 473 nt
Filed under: uncultured bacterium
Lineage: Bacteria
Description: bacterial SSU rRNA
Rfam family: Bacterial small subunit ribosomal RNA
Source: RNAcentral